RNAcentral lists this ribosomal RNA (253 nucleotides) under uncultured bacterium. RNAcentral describes it as "partial 16S ribosomal RNA". It matches the Rfam family "Bacterial small subunit ribosomal RNA", at positions 524 to 776 of the family's 1533-position model. The record is from RNAcentral.
UACAGAGGGCUCAAGCGUUGUUCGGAUUCAUUGGGCGUAAAGGGUGCGUAGGUGGCGCCGUAAGUCGGGUGUGAAAUUUCGGAGCUUAACUCCGAAACUGCAUUCGAUACUGCGGUGCUUGAGGACUGGAGAGGAGACUGGAAUUCAUGGUGUAGCAGUGAAAUGCGUAGAGAUCAUGAGGAAGACCAGUGGCGAAGGCGGGUCUCUGGACAGUUCCUGACGCUGAGGCACGAAGGCCAGGGGAGCAAACGGG